This 688-nucleotide ribosomal RNA is filed under the name Xylaria sp. genotype 397. RNAcentral describes it as "eukaryotic LSU rRNA". The stretch from base 101 to 688 matches the Rfam family "Eukaryotic large subunit ribosomal RNA", at positions 1 to 601 of the family's 3401-position model. Lineage: Eukaryota; Fungi; Ascomycota; Sordariomycetes; Xylariales; Xylariaceae. The record is from RNAcentral.
UAGUGGCGGAGUCGGUUCACACUCUAGACGUAGUAAAAUCUUUAUCUCGCCUAUAGAUGAGCCGGCGCCUUGCCGUAAAACCCCUAMUCUUUCACAAGGUUGACCUCGGAUCAGGUAGGAAUACCCGCUGAACUUAAGCAUAUCAAUAAGCGGAGGAAAAGAAACCAACAGGGAUUGCCCUAGUAACGGCGAGUGAAGCGGCAACAGCUCAAAUUUGAAAUCUGGCCUUCGGGUCCGAGUUGUAAUUUGCAGAGGAUGCUUUGGGCGCGGUGCCUUCCGAGUUCCCUGGAACGGGACGCCUUAGAGGGUGAGAGCCCCGUACGGUUGGACACCAAGCCUCUGUAAAGCUCCUUCGACGAGUCGAGUAGUUUGGGAAUGCUGCUCUAAAUGGGAGGUAAAUUUCUUCUAAAGCUAAAUAUUGGCCAGAGACCGAUAGCGCACAAGUAGAGUGAUCGAAAGAUGAAAAGCACUUUGAAAAGAGGGUUAAAUAGCACGUGAAAUUGUUGAAAGGGAAGCGUUUGCGACCAGACCUUUUCCCAGCGGAUCAUCCGGUGUUCUCACCGGUGCACUUCGCUGGGUUGAGGCCAGCAUCGGUUUCCGCAGGGGGAUAAAAGCCUGGGGAACGUAGCUCCCUCGGGAGUGUUAUAGCCCCUCGCAUAAUACCCUUGCGGGGACCGAGGACCGCGCU